GGGCUGCGUCCAGGCGCUCAGCCCAGGCUCCGGUCACCUCCGACCUGGAACUGGGUCCCAAACGGGCACAGAACAGUCCCUGUCCGUUUGUCCUGGUGUGAGCUCAGGGCACCAGGCGUCACUAAGCCCUUUCUCUUUCAACGCUUUUGGUGCUAAAGAUGGGAAGAGGACAGGAAGGGGUGUGGCUUGGACUCUGCCUCCAGCAAUUCUGCGAGGAUGGGUCUGUGACCCUUUUGCCGAAGACAAAACUGAGGCUUCAGAGAUGGACCCACUUCCCCCAAGACUCAUAGCAGUGUGCAGUGGCUUGAUGUGGGAUUGCAGUUCUCAG
Molecule: long non-coding RNA, 328 nt
Organism: Phacochoerus africanus (Common warthog)
Lineage: Eukaryota; Metazoa; Chordata; Mammalia; Artiodactyla; Suidae
Exons: 3
Source: RefSeq, a predicted model, not a curated record